Molecule: long non-coding RNA, 483 nt
Filed under: Takifugu rubripes (torafugu)
Lineage: Eukaryota; Metazoa; Chordata; Actinopteri; Tetraodontiformes; Tetraodontidae
Description: lncRNA (ENSTRUG00000028704.1)
Source: RNAcentral
UAUUCUGCUCUGACACAAAAGGAGUCAAGGCAGACAGGAGCCAAAAGUUUGCACAUCAAACAAACCCAAGGAGGUCAUCAUGAACAUCAAUAUUGGGACUCUAUAUAUCAACGGUGUCACUGCCUGCUCUUCUGCUCUCGUGCUGAGGUGGAAAAUUCCACUCCCUCUGUCACGCCCCCCCCCCCCCUCCUCCUCCUCCUCCUCCUCCUCCUCCUCCUCCACACCCAUCUGAUCAGCCUUCACCAUUUUCACCUGCUGCUCCCUCUUAGCCAGGUGUUAUUGCACCAUGGCCUUGGACUUCUCUUAUCUGUUGCUGCCCUUACAACAGAGAGCCUGCUGCUGGUUCUUUCAUACCUGCUUUCUUUGAGAAUGACAGAUCACUUAUUUCCUCAAACAAAAUACCACCAAACCAAAGAGGUUGUCAGAAAAGAGAAUUCUUCAAGUUCUUCCUGUUUGGGAUGGUUCUCCUGGCUCAGUGGUUAA